AAGACCCAAAAAUCAAAGUCAAUCAAAGGUAUGUAAUAUAUAUACAUACGAUCCAAAAAAAAACCCUAAAUCUCGUUGUCUAACAAGCUAAAAUGAAACAGGAAAGUGUUGUUCCUUUCUUUUUAAUUACUCUUUUUGCAAUUGUCUUCAUUCUUUCUAGGAUGACAAUUGUCCAAGCACAAAUACGAUCACCACCAUUUCUUUGGGCCAGUUGUAAUUGGGAUGAAAUGGCAAUUUACGAGAAGGAAAAAAAGUGGCACCAAUGAACCACACCAAGUGAAGGGGGCGGCUAGGGACAAAAGGAUAAGCUCACAAUAGGUCAUAUCCAUUACGGGUGUUUGAUUUGGUGUAUACAUCUUGUAUUUCAUAAGUCAUGUUCAUUAUGGAUGUUUGAUUAUUAAUCAUGUACAAUGAUAAAUUGUAAGGAAUAAAUGUUGUUAUAAUGGAUGAAUAUAUAUUAUUAUUAUCGGUAAAA
Molecule: long non-coding RNA, 475 nt
Organism: Lactuca sativa (garden lettuce)
Lineage: Eukaryota; Viridiplantae; Streptophyta; Magnoliopsida; Asterales; Asteraceae
Source: RefSeq, a predicted model, not a curated record